AUUGAACGCUGGCGGCAGGCCUAACACAUGCAAGUCGGACGGUAGCACAGAGGAGCCUGCUCCUCGGGUGACGAGUGGCGGACGGGUGAGUAAUGUCUGGGGAUCUGCCCGAUAGAGGGGGAUAACCACUGGAAACGGUGGCUAAUACCGCAUAACGUCGCAAGACCAAAGAGGGGGACCUUCGGGCCUCUCACUAUCGGAUGAACCCAGAUGGGAUUAGCUAGUAGGCGGGGUAACGGCCCACCUAGGCGACGAUCCCUAGCUGGUCUGCGGGGAUGACCAGCCACACUGGAACUGAGACACGGUCCAGAGUCCUACGGGAGGCAGCAGUGGGGAAUAUUGCACAAUGGGCGCAAGCCUGAUGCAGCCAUGCCGCGUGUAUGAAGAAGGCCUUCGGGUUGUAAAGUACUUUCAGCGGGGAGGAAGGCGAUGUGGUUAAUAACCGCAUUGAUUGACGUUACCCGCAGAAGAAGCACCGGCUAACUCCGUGCCAGCCGCCGCAGUAA
Molecule: ribosomal RNA, 506 nt
Filed under: uncultured bacterium
Lineage: Bacteria
Description: partial 16S ribosomal RNA
Rfam family: Bacterial small subunit ribosomal RNA
Source: RNAcentral